Molecule: long non-coding RNA, 484 nt
Organism: Paramisgurnus dabryanus
Lineage: Eukaryota; Metazoa; Chordata; Actinopteri; Cypriniformes; Cobitidae
Source: RefSeq, a predicted model, not a curated record
CUGUUUAGAGAUGGAGAAGGUGUGCAGAUGUCAGCAGUGAACACGGUACCACUCAGCGCCCAUAUUCUCUUAUCUCCAAGUCUAGUCCGGCACUUCAGAGACAUGAUAACAUUGUCUUUAAAGGGCUGUUGCAUGAUUUUUCUUCAAUAAUAUUUUGGGAAACCUUUAUCUAAGCAUUUCUUAUCACCGAAAAACCAUUUAUUCCAAUUGAUUUCUCUCUGUUUAGUGGAGAGUUUGUGCUUGGCCCAGAAAACCAAGUGUGAUCUCCAAUACUCUGAGUGCACAGAUGUUAAUGGGACCCUGUACUGCCAGUGUCAUCCAGGGUACAUCAAAACGAACCUAGGAGACAUGACCUGCAGAGACUGGGGAGAUGGACUUCAGCUUGUUAAUGGAAACUGUGUUGAACCUUUGCUCUCCUCCAAGUGUUGUGGAAAACCUGCCAGCCUUGACUCGUGGGCCCAACAAACAACGUAGCAUUGUGCUA